RNAcentral lists this ribosomal RNA (1280 nucleotides) under Streptococcus suis. RNAcentral describes it as "bacterial SSU rRNA". It matches the Rfam family "Bacterial small subunit ribosomal RNA", at positions 56 to 1320 of the family's 1533-position model. Lineage: Bacteria; Bacillati; Bacillota; Bacilli; Lactobacillales; Streptococcaceae. The record is from RNAcentral.
UGCAAGUAGAACGCUGAAGUCUGGUGCUUGCACUAGACGGAUGAGUUGCGAACGGGUGAGUAACGCGUAGGUAACCUGCCUCAUAGCGGGGGAUAACUAUUGGAAACGAUAGCUAAUACCGCAUAACAGUAUUUACCGCAUGGUAGAUAUUUGAAAGGAGCAAUUGCUUCACUAUGAGAUGGACCUGCGUUGUAUUAGCUAGUUGGUGAGGUAACGGCUCACCAAGGCUUCGAUACAUAGCCGACCUGAGAGGGUGAUCGGCCACACUGGGACUGAGACACGGCCCAGACUCCUACGGGAGGCAGCAGUAGGGAAUCUUCGGCAAUGGGGGCAACCCUGACCGAGCAACGCCGCGUGAGUGAAGAAGGUUUUCGGAUCGUAAAGCUCUGUUGUAAGAGAAGAACUGUGAGAAGAGUGGAAAGUUUCUCACUUGACGGUAUCUUACCAGAAAGGGACGGCUAACUACGUGCCAGCAGCCGCGGUAAUACGUAGGUCCCGAGCGUUGUCCGGAUUUAUUGGGCGUAAAGCGAGCGCAGGCGGUUUGAUAAGUCUGAAGUAAAAGGCUGUGGCUUAACCAUAGUACGCUUUGGAAACUGUCAAACUUGAGUGCAGAAGGGGAGAGUGGAAUUCCAUGUGUAGCGGUGAAAUGCGUAGAUAUAUGGAGGAACACCGGUGGCGAAAGCGGCUCUCUGGUCUGUAACUGACGCUGAGGCUCGAAAGCGUGGGGAGCGAACAGGAUUAGAUACCCUGGUAGUCCACGCCGUAAACGAUGAGUGCUAGGUGUUGGGUCCUUUCCGGGACUCAGUGCCGCAGCUAACGCAUUAAGCACUCCGCCUGGGGAGUACGACCGCAAGGUUGAAACUCAAAGGAAUUGACGGGGGCCCGCACAAGCGGUGGAGCAUGUGGUUUAAUUCGAAGCAACGCGAAGAACCUUACCAGGUCUUGACAUCCCGAUGACCGCCCUAGAGAUAGGGUUUCUCUUCGGAGCAUCGGUGACAGGUGGUGCAUGGUUGUCGUCAGCUCGUGUCGUGAGAUGUUGGGUUAAGUCCCGCAACGAGCGCAACCCCUAUUGUUAGUUGCCAUCAUUCAGUUGGGCACUCUAGCGAGACUGCCGGUAAUAAACCGGAGGAAGGUGGGGAUGACGUCAAAUCAUCAUGCCCCUUAUGACCUGGGCUACACACGUGCUACAAUGGCUGGUACAACGAGUCGCAAGUCGGUGACGGCAAGCUAAUCUCUUAAAGCCAGUCUCAGUUCGGAUUGUAGGCUGCAACUCGCCUACA